CCUACGGGCGGCAGCAGUGGGGAAUAUUGGACAAUGGGGGCAACCCUGAUCCAGCCAUGCCGCGUGUGUGAAGAAGGCCCUCGGGUUGUAAAGCACUUUCAGUGAGGAAGAACGCCUGGUGGUUAAUACCCAUCAGGAAAGACAUCACUCACAGAAGAAGCACCGGCUAACUCCGUGCCAGCAGCCGCGGUAAUACGGAGGGUGCGAGCGUUAAUCGGAAUUACUGGGCGUAAAGCGCGCGUAGGUGGCUUGAUAAGCCGGUUGUGAAAGCCCCGGGCUCAACCUGGGAACGGCAUCCGGAACUGUCAAGCUUGAGUGCAGGAGAGGAAGGUAGAAUUCCCGGUGUAGCGGUGAAAUGCGUAGAGAUCGGGAGGAAUACCAGUGGCGAAGGCGGCCUUCUGGACUGACACUGACACUGAGGUGCGAAAGCGUGGGUAGCAAACAGGAUUAGAUACCCUGGUAGUC
Molecule: ribosomal RNA, 465 nt
Filed under: Vreelandella stevensii
Lineage: Bacteria; Pseudomonadati; Pseudomonadota; Gammaproteobacteria; Oceanospirillales; Halomonadaceae
Description: partial 16S ribosomal RNA
Rfam family: Bacterial small subunit ribosomal RNA
Source: RNAcentral